This is a long non-coding RNA of Rattus norvegicus (Norway rat), 1198 nucleotides long. RefSeq lists it as uncharacterized. The record is from RefSeq and is a predicted model, not a curated record. NCBI's taxonomy places the organism in Eukaryota, Metazoa, Chordata, Mammalia, Rodentia, Muridae.
CUAAGAUGGGAAUGGAGGCCACAUUCUAGAACAGGUGACAUCACCUCAUGGAAAUGUUCCAUCAAGUAGAAACAGAGAUGACUUCUCCAUAAUGCCAGAGUCAAAGUGAGAUAAUGGUCAGCACACAGAAGCUGUACUUCAGAGGUGGCCAAGGUUUUACCUCAUACUGGCAGCCAAACUUGGUAGUGUAAGAGUCACCCAGAUGGUACUGGUUUCCAAGGCUCGAAUGGGCCAUGGAGCACAGCUGAGGAUUGGCAUUGUGUGGCAGGGAUGGAGUCCCAGAAGAGGGCCAAGGAAAGGCUAUUGGUAAACGUGCAGCCCAAUUGCAGCAAGGGAUCCUGGAAGUUUCGAAGAUGCUGGUACCAAGAAGAGCGGAGAUGGAGUGGAGUCGGUGGGAACCUAGAAGACGGAUGGUGUGUGCUACUGGAGAAGAAACCCAGGUUCCUUGGAAAAGCCCAAAAGACGAACCAUGGUCUCCUGUAUCCCAGGCUUCGGACUUCACUUAGCCGAGGAUGACCUUGACGCUUUGAUCUUCCCGUUUCCACCAUCCUAGUGCUGGGACUACAGCCAUGUGCCACCAUGCUCAGGACUCUGUCUAAAGUGGAAGCAAAAGAAACUGGAAACAGCCCAGAUGUCCAGCAACCGAUGAGAACACAAUGAGAAGACGACACGUUUGCAUGAUGGGAUAUCAUUCAACUGUUCAGAAAAAAGGAAGUUAUGAAAUUUGCAGCAAGAAGAGCAGUGACUCACAAGACGUUGGUAUUAUGGAACUCUGGUGCCUGCCUGGGAUAUGGCCAGUGGCACAGGACAAACACUGCCCUGAGACCUGGAACUUCUCGGGAAGAAUGUCUCUAGGUGGUAGAGGCAUUUCCUCCAAUUCCUCCAAUGCAGACCCUGUUCUCAGUUCAAUGGUUGGCUGCGAGCAUUCCCCCCAAAUGGCUGUUGUCUUACGUUCCACUGUUGGGAUGCAUGUUGUACCCUGAGUGAAGCCCAUCUUUGCUCUCGCCCUUAGAGGAGCCUUUCAUUGUGCUGUCUUGUAUUCUCCUGACUGUUAAGACAUAUUAAGCCAAUUUCCUCCUGUUUGCUUCUCAAGAGGAAGAAUAGCUAAUUAGCUGUUUCGGUGAAGUAAUUCAUUAGAUCUCUUUUUCCACGGUCCAUAAUAAAGCAUGCCUUUGCCUUUCAUUUAUGUCUUGACCAA